CUGCUGGGGUUGGCUAUGUUGGACAGAGUUUAGCUGGAGAGGCAGGAAGGCACUGUGGGGAGGUCCCUGUCCCAGGUCCCCCCCCCACCGGGAGCCUUUAACACUCAGGAGGACUGGACUCCCCGGCUCUAGGCGGCCUUAAGCCCUGUUGGCUUCUUACUUUUUCCAGUACCCUCAGGGGUCCCUCAUCCUGAACGUUCCUGUUUCCUAUCCUUACUGUUGCUAAAUCACGGCUGACAUUUUCCUGGCCUGGGACUGAGGCCUCAGAUCUUCAGCCAUUCCUUACAGGAAGUAAAAAGGGGAAGAGGAUAAGGAAAAGUGACCUCUCCAGAGGGAGACACUGGCCUGCGGGGGGUGGAGGUGGGGUGCAGUGGGCCAGUGCCAGUCCUGACAGCCCCCGGUCAAGCACCUUCCCCUGGGGCACCCCUUCCUUCCCUCCCCACAGCGUCCCCCCGCCCAGGAAAGGCCAGCAAAGCUUCCUUCCUUCCUCUAAGAAGCACUUCUAUCUAGGGCAGGCUCAUCCCCGGUGGCCACACAAUGGCCCUUAUCAGCUGUGGAGUCAGGCGCAGAGACCCAGUGCACACCAAGUCUCACACAUUUCCUGUUUCCACCCAGCGGGUCAGGGCUGGGCCCAGAGGGGCCAUAUCCUGACUGGGGCCAAGAGGAGGCAAAACACUCCCCCUUCCCCUUCCCAGCCUCUCAAUCACUGCUGGACUCACUCCUCCCAGGCCCAGAGGGGCCCCCCGACAGGAGGCAGGGAUAGGGGUGUGUGAAGACUUAAGGAGGAAGGGCAGAGAUGGGCACACAGACAAGGAUGUUCCACGAGCAGCAGGUGGAGGCAGUGGUCCCUGAGAUGGAGCGCCGGGGCUACAUGGAUCAGAAUAAGGAGAUAGACAACCAGGAUUCCUACGUGGGGAGAAGUGUAGCUUGGAUUCAAGUCCAGGUCUUGAUCUCAUCCCUGUGUUUCUGGUCCUGCAUGACACCACAGCUGCCUGUGUAACUUGGGAUGGACCACACCACCACUCUGAGCUGUGGCUGCCGUCUGCCAAAUGACAGGUGCCGCGUGGCAGCGGCCACGAGGCUUCUGCAUGUGAGGUGGAGAAGUCGAGACUCAGUAGGGAAGGAACUUUCCCGAAGUCACAGAAUGACUGAGUGGUGAAGUCAGGAUUCAAGGCCAGGCAGCGUGACCAGAUGGCACAAACUCUUCAUGACCAGGCCACCCCCUCUCCUUAUCCGUAAAAUGAAGGUAAUAAUAGUUACCUCACAGGUCUGCUGACACGAUUAAGUAAGAUAAAGCACACACAAAAUCUUUAGCACCGUGCCUGGUACAAAAUAAGCUCUCUGUAAUCACUGGCUAUUGUGACUCUUUGUUCUCUAGAGUUAACUGAGACCCCUCUGGCCAGUUCUUUGCUUACUGGCUUCUCUGCGGAGCCCUGAGGCUGUACAGCCCUGGGAGAUAGGAGUGAUUUCCUUCCCUAGGUAACUACGGUUGUCUCAAGACAGGCGAGCCGCGCCCAGGGAGCUACAGGGCUGUUCUCAAAGAUCGGCAGUUCUCUAAGACCAGGCCUUGCCCUCCAAGGAUGGGGCGGGGCCCAAGUCCUGGAAUGGGGGUGUGGGCAGUUGCUGUUCCGGGUUCUUCCCCCUUGAUUUUAAAAGAACCCAGAACAGUAAAGCCUAGGCAUAUGGUUCCUGCUCUAAAACCCUUCAGGAGUCUUCACUGCCUCCAGAAUAAAGUUCUAGUCCCCAAGCACGGUUUUCCAGGAGCCUGACACCACUGUCCUACACCCGCCUACCAGGGACUCUCUGGCCUCCGGACCUUUACUCUUGCAGUCUGUGCUGCCUGGAACACCCAUCUUCACAGAGAGAGGCCCAGUGGCAAUGCUGCCUUUGUCAGAAAGCCGUCUUUGAGCUCUACUUUCUGCUUCCAAAGCAUUUUGCACCAGUGUUUUCCCUAUGUUAUGCAGUGCUGUCGUUUUCAGUUGGCAUACUGGUCUGUGUGUGAGCCUGGAAGGCAAGCACUGGCUCUCGAGAUGUCCUGCGCAGCCUCAGCCUUAGUACAGAGCCGGCGCUUAGCCAGCCUGACUGCUCAUGGAACCUAAACUCAGGAAAACCCCAAACUCAACCUCUCUCCUCAGAAAUGCCCAUCUAAUCCUAACAUACACACUUUAAGAUGCUGAUAACCAGGUUGCAAGUCUACUUUUGUCUUCUGUUUGAUUCACUUACUAUUUUAUUUUAUUUAAAGAUCUUAUUUAUUUGACAGACGGCGCGUGCAAGCAGGGGGAGCAGCGGAGGGAGAGGGAGAAGCAGUCUCCCCGCUGAACAGGGAGUCUGAUGCAGGGCUGAAUCUGAGGACCCUGGGAUCAUGACCUGAGCCAUGCAGUGUCACAUGGACUGUCCUGAUCCUCUCGGCCCUGCAAGACUGUUACAGGUCACAUUCUCCCUCCACUACAAGACACUGAAGUUCAGAGGUCACUCUGUCCAGGCAGAAGUCAGAUGCUUUCCUAGGUCUAUGAAGUCCAUGCUCCUUCCACUGCACUCCAACGUGGCCAAUUCCCAGCAGUGAACUGUCUCUUCAAAUGCCUUACCAGAACCAGACUUCACUUAGGAUUUUUGGCUGAAUGGUUGUGACUGAGUACAACAAUUGUUUCUGGAGGAGGCAAGCAAGCCUGGGGAUGGAAAAGACAACAGGGAUCGAAGAGAGCUGGUGCCCAGUGCAGGACCAUGGUAAGUCGAAGGCCUUGCUCCCUAUCUUAAUGGACACCCAGCAGCUCCUCCAGGGGAAGACCAGGCCCCGGGUGCAAAGCCCUGUUAAACUCAUCCCCACCUGGGAACAAAGACUUCAGAGGCCUGGAAAUGGAGAACAGGCGGCUGAGGGACCUGAGUGGUGCCCCCCACCUUUGAUGCUGGACUUCCACAAUAGGCUCAGAUCACCCCUCGGGAGCUUUCCCUCACUUGAUACCUGAUCCUUCUCCCACAGGUCACUGUAACGCCGAUUUUUUAUGGAUUCCCGGACAAAAUGUAGCCCAAAGUCAUCAAUCCGGAAGUUCAUGUCUCCAAACCACAGAAUGAGGCUGCAGAGAGAAAAGAAGGCAGCUUAGGGUUGUGACAAGGCCAAGGAAGUCCCUGCCUAGCCCUGAGGUCGACGGUGUCUCAGCUCCAGGCUCAGCAUUUACUCCCGAGCUGCCGAGUGAUGCGUUCUACCGAGCGCACUGCCUCUUCCUGGGCUUGGGGUGCGGAAGGGAGGCCGAGAAGACAAGGCUGCCAGGGCACUCUGCUAUCAGGAAGGCAUCGACCUUCCAGUCCUAGCACCAUGCAGCCUAGGGACUCCUCUCACCAUGCUCUAUGGGUUCGUAGGGCACUCCAGGCUGCCAUCCCUAUGCACCAGGGGCUCAGAGAGGGAUGGCACGAUGUAGGAUAGUGGCUAAGGGCACUGGCUUUGUUGGAAGUUAGCCAGAUCUGGGUUCAGAUCCCACUUGGGCUCCUAGCAUUUGCUGUUGGGCCCAGUCUCAGUCUAUUUGCUCAUUGAAAAACCA
Mustela lutreola (European mink) is the source of this 3533-nucleotide long non-coding RNA. RefSeq lists it as uncharacterized. The transcript is spliced from 6 exons. Lineage: Eukaryota; Metazoa; Chordata; Mammalia; Carnivora; Mustelidae. The record is from RefSeq and is a predicted model, not a curated record.